Long non-coding RNA from Sander lucioperca (pikeperch), 340 nucleotides. RefSeq lists it as uncharacterized. The record is from RefSeq and is a predicted model, not a curated record. The transcript has 3 exons. NCBI's taxonomy places the organism in Eukaryota, Metazoa, Chordata, Actinopteri, Perciformes, Percidae.
AAAAUUAAACCAUCCAAUAACAGGGGUGUCAAACUCAUUUUCCCAGAAGGCCACACUGGAAAAAGAGAAUCACACAAAGGGCCAGACAUGGAGAGUUCACUGACGGGCUUUAGUUACCACAUGUCACUUUUUUUUAACAUUUUUGUUGUUUUUUUCCGACGUUUUUGUGGCUUUCUCAGACAUUUGUCACCUUUUUGUAAAUUUGGUGCUUUUUAACAACAUUUUUGUACGCUUUUUGUUGACAUAAAGUCCUACAAAAGUCAUCAAAAGAGUUCCUUAGCCAACAUAGAAUUUAGCAAAUCAAGCAAAAACAAAGCUAAUUUUUUUUUAACAACAACCU